This 497-nucleotide ribosomal RNA is filed under the name uncultured bacterium. RNAcentral describes it as "partial 16S ribosomal RNA". It matches the Rfam family "Bacterial small subunit ribosomal RNA", at positions 28 to 507 of the family's 1533-position model. The record is from RNAcentral.
GAUGAACGCUGGCGGCGUGCCUAAUACAUGCAAGUCGAGCGAACGGACGAGAAGCUUGCUUUUCUGAUGUUAGCGGCGGACGGGUGAGUAACACGUGGAUAACCUACCUAUAAGACUGGGAUAACUUCGGGAAACCGGAGCUAAUACCGGAUAAUAUUUUGAACCGCAUGGUUCAAAAGUGAAAGACGGUCUUGCUGUCACUUAUAGAUGGAUCCGCGCUGCAUUAGCUAGUUGGUAAGGUAACGGCUUACCAAGGCAACGAUGCAUAGCCGACCUGAGAGGGUGAUCGGCCACACUGGAACUGAGACACGGUCCAGACUCCUACGGGAGGCAGCAGUAGGGAAUCUUACGCAAUGGGAGAAAGCCUGACGGAGAAACGCCGCGUGAGUGAUGAAGGUCUUCGGAUCGUAAAACUCUGUUAUUAGGGAAGAACAUAUGUGUAAGUAACUGUGCACAUCUUGACGGUACCUAAUCAGAAAGCCACGGCUAACUACGUG